Long non-coding RNA from Capsicum annuum, 360 nucleotides. RefSeq lists it as uncharacterized. The record is from RefSeq and is a predicted model, not a curated record. The transcript has 3 exons. NCBI's taxonomy places the organism in Eukaryota, Viridiplantae, Streptophyta, Magnoliopsida, Solanales, Solanaceae.
UGUAAUUAGUAUUGAGAGGUUUUGGCUUGGAAACUUUCUUCAAUUGUCAAGAAUCGAGCAACAUCAGUAGCAGUUUAUAUUUUCUUCCUUUAAUGGUACCAUGAGAAAUUGGGAAUUUACUUUGAUUAGUUUCUUAUGUUGGAGUAAUUGCUCAAUGUUUGGGGUGGUUGAAUUUAUUGGUUGGUUGGUUGCAAAAGAAGAGCCCUAGGAUGUUGAGUUGUUUGAAACUCAUGAUCCAAUCGUUAGCUAGAAGGCAUCAAAGGUGCUCAGUUCCAUGUUCGACAGUGACUCUUUGGGCAAGCUGUUCUACAUCCUCUGUUGUGGUGAAUCCUCAUAUUUAGAGGAUGUGAUGUCUGAUGU